CCUACGGGAGGCAGCAGUGAGGCAUAUUGGUCAAUGGACGAGAGUCUGAACCAGCCAAGUAGCGUGAAGGAUGACUGCCCUGUGGGUUGUAAACUUCUUUUAUCUGGGAAUAACAUGUUCAACGUGUGGGCUUUUGUAUGUACUUUAUGAUUAAGGGUCGGCUAACUCCGUGCCAGCAGCCGCGGUAAUACGUCGGAUCCGAGCGGUAUCCGGAUUUAUUGGGUUUAAAGGGAGCGUAGGUGGAUUGUUAAGUCGGUUGUGAAAGUUUGCGGCUCAACCGUAAAAUUGCAGUUGAGACUGGCAGUCUUGAGUACAGUAGAGGUGGGCGGAAUUCGUGGUGGAGCGGUGAAAUGCUGAGAUAUCACGAAGAACUCCGAUUGCGAAGGCAGCUCACUGGACUGCAACUGACACUGAGGCUCGAAAGUGUGGGUAUCAAACAGGAUUAGAUACCCGUGUAGUC
This 460-nucleotide ribosomal RNA is filed under the name uncultured bacterium. Its description in RNAcentral is "partial 16S ribosomal RNA". It matches the Rfam family "Bacterial small subunit ribosomal RNA", at positions 338 to 795 of the family's 1533-position model. The record is from RNAcentral.